AAUGAACGCUGGCGGCAGGCCUAACACAUGCAAGUCGAACGGAUCCUUCGGGAUUAGUGGCGGACGGGUGAGUAACGCGUGGGAACAUACCCUUUGGUACGGAAUAGCCUCGGGAAACUGGGAGUAAUACCGUAUGUGGUCGAGAGACGAAAGAUUUAUCGCCAAAGGAUUGGCCCGCGUUGGAUUAGGUAGUUGGUGGGGUAAUGGCCUACCAAGCCGACGAUCCAUAGCUGGUUUGAGAGGAUGAUCAGCCACACUGGGACUGAGACACGGCCCAGACUACUACGGGAGGCAGCAGUGGGGAAUCUUAGACAAUGGGGGAAACCCUGAUCUAGCCAUGCCGCGUGAUCGAUGAAGGCCUUAGGGUUGUAAAGAUCUUUCAGGUGGGAAGAUAAUGACUGUACCACCAGAAGAAGCCCCAGCUAACUCCGUGCCAGCCGCCGCGGUAA
Molecule: ribosomal RNA, 449 nt
Filed under: uncultured bacterium
Lineage: Bacteria
Description: partial 16S ribosomal RNA
Rfam family: Bacterial small subunit ribosomal RNA
Source: RNAcentral